UACGAAGGGUGCAAGCGUUACUCGGAAUUACUGGGCGUAAAGCGUGCGUAGGUGGUUCGUUAAGUCUGCUGUGAAAGCCCCGGGCUCAACCUGGGAAUGGCAGUGGAUACUGGCGAGCUAGAGUGCGGUAGAGGGUAGUGGAAUUCCCGGUGUAGCGGUGAAAUGCGUAGAGAUCGGGAGGAACACCAGUGGCGAAGGCGGCUACCUGGACCAGCACUGACACUCAGGCACGAAAGCGUGGGGAGCAAACAGG
RNAcentral lists this ribosomal RNA (253 nucleotides) under uncultured bacterium. Its description in RNAcentral is "partial 16S ribosomal RNA". It matches the Rfam family "Bacterial small subunit ribosomal RNA", at positions 524 to 776 of the family's 1533-position model. The record is from RNAcentral.